GCCAUGAGGACUCCAGAACUAAAAAGUCAGGACUGGGAUCAUGAGCCAUUGAAUGCUGGCCCACCUCAGCUAACCCUUAAAAGCUGGGCUCCUGCUUUUGUGAGUGAAGUCUGCCAGCCUUCAUCAAAGUGCACCCUCUUCAGCUGCUCAAGAAGGCAAACAGAAGCCUAGAGGCCGAUUUGCUCUACUAGCACUAGAUACACUGAAAAUACGCUCUCUGGUGAAGACGCGGCAGACAUGGAUUCCAUGACGGCUGCACUAGGAAGGAGAAUAUACUUUGCCUUUCAUGCGAGUCACAGAGAGAACACAGCCAGUCUUUCUCUAGACACCAAAUGGAUUCUCGCAGAGGUAAUGACUCAAAGCAGCUGGAGAAAGCAGAAUGCCUUUAGGUAUUAGAAUCUCUUUUACCUCUCUUACAAAUGUAGAUGCAAGACCUAGAAGCUUUUCAUUCAAACAUUCAGCAACUGAUUUGUUGUCACUUUCUUAUCUUAUAGCUUUUCCAUAAACUCAUCCUAAUUGAUCCCUACAGAAAAAAAUACGCAAUGCAGCCAGUUUCAUUCUCUUUAAUGUUUUAUAUUGUGAAAACUCUCGAGUUGUUAGAGAACUAG
Molecule: long non-coding RNA, 608 nt
Filed under: Fukomys damarensis (Damara mole-rat)
Lineage: Eukaryota; Metazoa; Chordata; Mammalia; Rodentia; Bathyergidae
Description: lncRNA (ENSFDAG00000027988.1)
Source: RNAcentral